This 573-nucleotide long non-coding RNA is filed under the name Homo sapiens (human). Its description in RNAcentral is "non-protein coding SOX5-AS1:11". The record is from RNAcentral. Lineage: Eukaryota; Metazoa; Chordata; Mammalia; Primates; Hominidae.
AAUGCUCAUCACAUAAACAUGAAGUUUCCUCCAAAAGGAAUGAUGACUAAUGCUUUGAGGAAACAGCAGACGUCAGACAGCAAGCCCAGAAAAACCUGCCAGCACCAAGAGGGUGUCCUCAACAGGCGCCUGGGGGACAUAUUAUUCUAACUAAAGAGACCAGAGCUUCCCCAGGAAGGGAAGAGGAGAGAAAUGAAGAACGUCUGUGUUCAUGUUUGCCAAAAACAAAAGUCUGAGAAAUCUCUGAGAGACUCUACAUGGGAGGGCACUAAUCGAAGCACCUCAUUUAAAGUGAGAAAAGCUUUGCUAAGGGCAGAUGAUUCAGCACGGUAUCCUUCGAUGAGUACUGUCAUCUCAAAUCCUUUUUAAGAAGAAAAGUGCAACCCACUGGAGAAAGAGAGGGACUCCGAGGAAGGAGAGAGAGAAGAGCAUCAAGCACAAAUGAUGAUCUCCUAGGACAGUGGCAGCUUCUGAGAAUGCACAGGAAAGUGACCAGGGAAAGAAUGAUUCCAUCUCCAGGAAUCCCUGGUGAUCUUCAGAGCCCAGACAGGACCCUGCUGGGCCAUGGUAACU